This 580-nucleotide ribosomal RNA is filed under the name Criotettix japonicus. RNAcentral's name for it is "12S ribosomal RNA". Lineage: Eukaryota; Metazoa; Arthropoda; Insecta; Orthoptera; Tetrigidae. The record is from RNAcentral.
CGCGGUUAUACAUCAUUUUCAGGAAUAAUUUAUUUGAUAAUAGUAUUUUUUUUUUGUAAUAAAUUAUUGUUUCAAUGUUUGGUGAAAUAUUAUUGAUUAUUUAUAUAUAUUUCUAAAUUUCUAUUAAGGCUGUUAUUAAACUGGGAUUAGAUACCCCAUUAUUUCAGAUUUUAUUAGUUGUCAGGUUAGUAGAAUUUUAUUUGAAAUCUAAAGAAUUUGGCGGCAUUUUAUCUUUAUAGGGGAACCUGUUCUUUAAAUGAUGAUACACGAUUGGCUUUACUAGAUUUUAUGGUUUGUAUAUUUCCGUUAUAAGUGAAUUUAUGGAUAAUAUUUUCUUGUUUUUUAAUGAAAACUUAUUUCAGGUCAAGGUGCAGCUUAUGGUUUAGUUUGAAAUGGGUUACAAUAUAUUUAUAUAAAUGGAUUUUUUUUUUAAACUUGAAAUUGAAGGUGGAUUUAUAAGUAAGUUUUUAUAAUUCUAAGGACUGAAUUAGCUCUAAUUUGUGUACAUAUCGCCCGUCACUCUCAUUUAUUUGAGAUAAGUCGUAACAAAGUAGAUUUACUGGAAAGUGAAUCUGGAUUA